Molecule: ribosomal RNA, 493 nt
Filed under: Escherichia coli
Lineage: Bacteria; Pseudomonadati; Pseudomonadota; Gammaproteobacteria; Enterobacterales; Enterobacteriaceae
Description: partial 23S ribosomal RNA
Rfam family: Bacterial large subunit ribosomal RNA
Source: RNAcentral
AGUAACGAUAAAGCGGGUGAAAAGCCCGCUCGCCGGAAGACCAAGGGUUCCUGUCCAACGUUAAUCGGGGCAGGGUGAGUCGACCCCUAAGGCGAGGCCGAAAGGCGUAGUCGAUGGGAAACAGGUUAAUAUUCCUGUACUUGGUGUUACUGCGAAGGGGGGACGGAGAAGGCUAUGUUGGCCGGGCGACGGUUGUCCCGGUUUAAGCGUGUAGGCUGGUUUUCCAGGCAAAUCCGGAAAAUCAAGGCUGAGGCGUGAUGACGAGGCACUACGGUGCUGAAGCAACAAAUGCCCUGCUUCCAGGAAAAGCCUCUAAGCAUCAGGUAACAUCAAAUCGUACCCCAAACCGACACAGGUGGUCAGGUAGAGAAUACCAAGGCGCUUGAGAGAACUCGGGUGAAGGAACUAGGCAAAAUGGUGCCGUAACUUCGGGAGAAGGCACGCUGAUAUGUAGGUGAAGUCCCUCGCGGAUGGAGCUGAAAUCAGUCGAAGA